This 253-nucleotide ribosomal RNA is filed under the name uncultured bacterium. Its description in RNAcentral is "partial 16S ribosomal RNA". It matches the Rfam family "Bacterial small subunit ribosomal RNA", at positions 524 to 776 of the family's 1533-position model. The record is from RNAcentral.
UACGUAGGUGGCAAGCGUUGUCCGGAUUUACUGGGCGUAAAGCGUGCGCAGGCGGUUGUGCAAGACAGGUGUGAAAUCCCCGGGCUUAACCUGGGAACUGCAUUUGCGACUGCACGGCUAGAGUGUGUCAGAGGGGGGUAGAAUUCCAUGUGUAGCAGUGAAAUGCGUAGAUAUGUGGAGGAAUACCGAUGGCGAAGGCAGCCCCCUGGGAUAACACUGACGCUCAUGCACGAAAGCGUGGGGAGCAAACAGG